RNAcentral lists this ribosomal RNA (415 nucleotides) under Myrmeleon sp. A AS-2013. RNAcentral describes it as "partial 16S ribosomal RNA". It matches the Rfam family "Archaeal large subunit ribosomal RNA", at positions 1996 to 2610 of the family's 2987-position model. Lineage: Eukaryota; Metazoa; Arthropoda; Insecta; Neuroptera; Myrmeleontidae. The record is from RNAcentral.
GUUAAUGAAGGGCCGCAGUAUUUUGACUGUGCAAAGGUAGCAUAAUCAUUUGCCUUUUAAUUAAAGGCUAGUAUGAAUGGUUAAACGAAAUACAAACUGUCUCAUUUUUAAAAUUAUAAUAAUUUAGCUUUCUAGUUAAAAGGCUGGAAUUAAGUUAGAGGACGAGAAGACCCUAUAGAACUUUAUAUAUUUUUAAAAUAAACUUAUAUAGUAAAAAAUUUUUGUUUAAAUAAUAAUAUAUUUUGUUGGGGUGACAGGGAAAUUUAUUUAACUUUCUUAAUUAUAAAACAUUGAUUUAUGAAUAUUUGAUCCAUUAAUAUUGAUUAUUAGAAUAAGUUACCUUAGGGAUAACAGCGUAAUUUUGUUGGAGAGUUCAUAUCUAUAACAAAGUUUGCGACCUCGAUGUUGAAUUAAA